Selaginella moellendorffii is the source of this 394-nucleotide long non-coding RNA. RefSeq lists it as uncharacterized. The transcript is spliced from 2 exons. The record is from RefSeq and is a predicted model, not a curated record. Lineage: Eukaryota; Viridiplantae; Streptophyta; Lycopodiopsida; Selaginellales; Selaginellaceae.
CCCCCGCCAGGCCACAGCAUGGUCCCGCCGCUGCUGUGCCGCCGCCAAAGAAGCCGGAUGAUUUCGCAGGGCGCCGAAUCUCGCCCAAGAUCGCCGCCGCCAGGGCCGCGGCCGAGGCUUUCCACAAGAAGCACUCGCCCAACGUACUUCGCGAGCUCACAAUCGGCCUGGCCUUAGGGUUCGCAGGUGGUGCCCUCUGGAAGAUCUAUCACCUCAACUGGAGGAGGCACUGCGAGGAGUUCUACGUUGGGCUGGACAAGGGGAUCUACACCACGGUCGUUCGUCCCAAGACCAAACUCGCAGUAGAAGCUUGAUCCGAUAUAUCGGAGGUUAGCUUUUGUUUCUCUUAAAUUCCAGUCUAUAUCUAUGAACGUUUCGGAAAUCUUGGAGAGCU